GCACUGCCCCCCUGCUGCCUCCUCUGUUCUGCAUCUCCUCAGCCGAGGAUAUAAAGACGCUUGUUUCUGUUCCUUUGAGUUACCGCUGGUUUCACACCAUCACCUGUAACACAACUCAGCUGACAGCUCGUCACACUGUCCACGAUGUCGAUCAUUGUUUUCUUUGACCUGGAGACCACUGGAUUAGAUCCAGGGUGUCAUAUCAUCCAGUUGUCUGCUGUCUGUGGAUAGAGAGAAUUUAACGCCUACAUCCUGCCCCGUCGCCCCAUCUCUCCAAGAGCCACAGAGCUGACAGGCCUUACCCAGAGCAGAGGCACACUGUAUCGCCACGGGACUCCUCUGGACACCGUCUUUCUUUAUGAUGCUCUCAAGGACUUCAUUA
Molecule: non-coding RNA, 382 nt
Organism: Epinephelus lanceolatus (giant grouper)
Lineage: Eukaryota; Metazoa; Chordata; Actinopteri; Perciformes; Serranidae
Source: RefSeq, a predicted model, not a curated record